CAAGAUCAAGGAGAACCUGGAUAAGAUUAGCGACUACCUCAUCCUCGUCGGCAUGGUUGGCUCCUUUGGCAGACCCCUCUUUGGCUCCGACCUACUUACUUUUGUCGCUGGCUAGCAGCAUUUCCAGGUGUUGUGUGUUCUAGAAGAUGGAAGAGGAAGAAAACUUACUUUUGUUGAACUAAAUUUUCUGUAUUCUGUUUUGUUGUACGUAUCAUUUGAUAGUUUUGUAUAGGAACAAGUUAUACUAUCUUGUAGGGCUUUAUGGCCUGUAAUGCAAACAUAUUUAGUGCUGAAAUAUGAAAUUAUUUGCAAAAUUUGUCGAAAAGGAGGAUCAUUUGUAC
Molecule: non-coding RNA, 341 nt
Organism: Triticum urartu
Lineage: Eukaryota; Viridiplantae; Streptophyta; Magnoliopsida; Poales; Poaceae
Source: RefSeq, a predicted model, not a curated record